This 1347-nucleotide ribosomal RNA is filed under the name Mycobacterium sp. DWMJ-1749B1. Its description in RNAcentral is "bacterial SSU rRNA". It matches the Rfam family "Bacterial small subunit ribosomal RNA", at positions 82 to 1428 of the family's 1533-position model. Lineage: Bacteria; Bacillati; Actinomycetota; Actinomycetes; Mycobacteriales; Mycobacteriaceae. The record is from RNAcentral.
UCGGGGUACACGAGUGGCGAACGGGUGAGUAACACGGNUGGGUGAUCUGCCCUGCACUUUGGGAUAAGCCUGGGAAACUGGGUCUAAUACCGAAUACNANNGGACCACGCGCUUCAUGGUGUGUGGUGGAAAGCUUUUGCGGUGUGGGAUGGGCCCGCGGCCUAUCAGCUUGUUGGUGGGGUAAUGGCCUACCAAGGCGACGACGGGUAGCCGGCCUGAGAGGGUGACCGGCCACACUGGGACUGAGAUACGGCCCAGACUCCUACGGGAGGCAGCAGUGGGGAAUAUUGCACAAUGGGCGCAAGCCUGAUGCAGCGACGCCGCGUGAGGGAUGACGGCCUUUCGGGUUGUAAACCUCUUUCAAUAGGGACGAAGCGCAAGUGACGGUACCUAUAGAAGAAGCACCGGCCAACUACGUGCCAGCAGCCGCGGUAAUACGUAGGGUGCGAGCGUUGUCCGGAAUUACUGGGCGUAAAGAGCUCGUAGGUGGUUUGUCGCGUUGUUCGUGAAAACUCACAGCUUAACUGUGGGCGUGCGGGCGAUACGGGCAGACUAGAGUACUGCAGGGGAGACUGGAAUUCCUGGUGUAGCGGUGGAAUGCGCAGAUAUCAGGAGGAACACCGGUGGCGAAGGCGGGUCUCUGGGCAGUAACUGACGCUGAGGAGCGAAAGCGUGGGGAGCGAACAGGAUUAGAUACCCUGGUAGUCCACGCCGUAAACGGUGGGUACUAGGUGUGGGUUCCUUCCUUGGGAUCCGUGCCGUAGCUAACGCAUUAAGUACCCCGCCUGGGGAGUACGGCCGCAAGGCUAAAACUCAAAGGAAUUGACGGGGGCCCGCACAAGCGGCGGAGCAUGUGGAUUAAUUCGAUGCAACGCGAAGAACCUUACCUGGGUUUGACAUGCACAGGACGCCGGCAGAGAUGUCGGUUCCCUUGUGGCCUGUGUGCAGGUGGUGCAUGGCUGUCGUCAGCUCGUGUCGUGAGAUGUUGGGUUAAGUCCCGCAACGAGCGCAACCCUUGUCCUAUGUUGCCAGCGGGUUAUGCCGGGGACUCGUAGGAGACUGCCGGGGUCAACUCGGAGGAAGGUGGGGAUGACGUCAAGUCAUCAUGCCCCUUAUGUCCAGGGCUUCACACAUGCUACAAUGGCCGGUACAAAGGGCUGCGAUGCCGUGAGGUGGAGCGAAUCCUUUCAAAGCCGGUCUCAGUUCGGAUCGGGGUCUGCAACUCGACCCCGNANUCUGAAGUCGGAGUCGCUAGUAAUCGCAGAUCAGCAACGCUGCGGUGAAUACGUUCCCGGUGCCUUGUACACACCGCCCGUCACGUCAUGAAAGUCGGUAACACCCGAAGCU